GACGAGCGCUGGCGGCGUGCUUAACACAUGCCAGUCGAACGGAAAGGCCCUGCUUGCAGGGUACUCGAGUGGCGAACGGGUGAGUAACACGUGGGUGAUCUGCCCUGCACUUCGGGAUAAGCCUGGGAAACUGGGUCUAAUACCGGAUAGGAGCCAUUUUUAGUGUGAUGGUUGGAAAGUUUUUUCGGUGUAGGAUGAGCUCGCGGCCUAUCAGCUUGUUGGUGGGGUAAUGGCCUACCAAGGCGGCGACGGGUAGCCGGCCUGAGAGGGUGGACGGCCACAUUGGGACUGAGAUACGGCCCAGACUCCUACGGGAGGCAGCAGUGGGGAAUAUUGCACAAUGGGCGCAAGCCUGAUGCAGCGACGCCGCGUGGGGGAUGACGGCCUUCGGGUUGGAAACUCCUUUCGCUAGGGACGAAGCUUUUUGUGACGGUACCUAGAGAAGAAGCACCGGCUAACUACGUG
This 465-nucleotide ribosomal RNA is filed under the name uncultured bacterium. Its description in RNAcentral is "partial 16S ribosomal RNA". It matches the Rfam family "Bacterial small subunit ribosomal RNA", at positions 28 to 507 of the family's 1533-position model. The record is from RNAcentral.